RNAcentral lists this non-coding RNA (21 nucleotides) under Caenorhabditis elegans. The record is from RNAcentral. Lineage: Eukaryota; Metazoa; Nematoda; Chromadorea; Rhabditida; Rhabditidae.
UAAUUAUGGCGAAAAAAAAAC